Molecule: non-coding RNA, 741 nt
Filed under: Galerucinae sp. 5 ACP-2013
Lineage: Eukaryota; Metazoa; Arthropoda; Insecta; Coleoptera; Chrysomelidae
Source: RNAcentral
UAAAGUUUUAUUUUGGCUUUAAAAUUAAUUAUUAUAAUUUGUUAUAUGUAAAUCAUAUUCAAUAAGAAUUUACAGUGAUUAAAUUUAAAUUUUAAAGUAAUUUAGAAUUAGGAAAUAUAUUGAGUAUUAACAAAAUUUGUGCCAGCAGUUGCGGUUAUACAAAUAAUACAAUUUAAUUUUAUUAAUAUUAAUUAAUUUAAUUUAUAAUUUUAAUAAAAAAUUUAUUAAGUGAAAUUUUAAAUUUUAAGAAAAUUUUUAAAUAUAAAUGAAGUUAGGAAGAUUUUAUAAUAAACUAGGAUUAGAUACCCUAUUAUAAUAAAAGUAAUUUUUUUAUUAAAUUAGUAUUAGUUAUUUUCUUUAAAGUUAAAAAUUUUGGCGGUAUUUUAGUCUUUUCAGAGGAACCUGUUCUGUAAAUGAUAAUCCACGAUUUAAUUUACUUUUUUUUUUAGUUUAUAUAUCAUCGUAAUAAAAUAUUUUUUUAGAAUUUUAAUAUUUAAGAUUUUUUAUUAAAAAAUUAAUCAGAUCAAGGUGUAGCUGAUAAAAAUGAAGAAAUGGGUUACAUUUAAUAUAUUAUUGGAUUAUUAAUAGUAUUAUUAAUAUAAAUUUGGAUUUGAAAGUAAAAUUAUUUAAUUAAUUAAUUUGAUUUAGCUCUAAAAUAUGUACAUAUCGCCCGUCGCUUUCAUUUAAUGUGAAAUAAGUCGUAACAAAGUAGAUUUACUGGAAAGUGAAUCUAGAUUCAAG